Molecule: ribosomal RNA, 292 nt
Filed under: uncultured bacterium
Lineage: Bacteria
Description: partial 16S ribosomal RNA
Rfam family: Bacterial small subunit ribosomal RNA
Source: RNAcentral
GUGUCAGCAGCCGCGGUAAUACGGAGGGGGCUAGCGUUGUUCGGAAUUACUGGGCGUAAAGGGCGCGUAGGCGGUUUACCAAGUCAGGCGUGAAAGGCCUGGGCUCAACCCGGGAACUGCGCUUGAUACUGGUGGACUUGAGUCCGGGAGAGGAUGGCGGAAUUCCCAGUGUAGAGGUGAAAUUCGUAGAUAUUGGGAAGAACACCGGUGGCGAAGGCGGCCAUCUGGACCGGAACUGACGCUGAGGCGCGAAAGCGUGGGGAGCAAACAGGAUUAGAUACCCUCGUAGUCC